Molecule: non-coding RNA, 31 nt
Filed under: Homo sapiens (human)
Lineage: Eukaryota; Metazoa; Chordata; Mammalia; Primates; Hominidae
Source: RNAcentral
GACAUGUCCACUUAUGCCAAUGAAUGUACUC